RNAcentral lists this ribosomal RNA (73 nucleotides) under Salmonella enterica subsp. enterica serovar Enteritidis. Its description in RNAcentral is "partial 23S ribosomal RNA". The record is from RNAcentral. Lineage: Bacteria; Pseudomonadati; Pseudomonadota; Gammaproteobacteria; Enterobacterales; Enterobacteriaceae.
GUGGGGAAGCGCAGCUAUGCGUUGAUCUAACCGGUACUAAUGAACCGUGAGGCUUAACCUUACAACGCCGAAG